RNAcentral lists this transfer RNA (71 nucleotides) under Gymnogeophagus balzanii. RNAcentral describes it as "tRNA-Gly". It matches the Rfam family "tRNA". From Rfam's summary of the family: Transfer RNA (tRNA) molecules are approximately 80 nucleotides in length. Their secondary structure includes four short double-helical elements and three loops (D, anti-codon, and T loops). The record is from RNAcentral. Lineage: Eukaryota; Metazoa; Chordata; Actinopteri; Cichliformes; Cichlidae.
CUCUUUCUAGUAUGAAACUAGUACAUGUGACUUCCAAUCACUAAGUCUUGGUUAAACCCCAAGGAAAGAAA